GGCACAUCUUAUCAUUAUGUGCUAUGGCUGUCAGACAUAGCUACAGGACUUAUUUGUCCUGCCAAGUUAGGAUCUUACUUUGGUCAUAUUUUUGUCUAUGUCUCUAUUUCUUCUUUUGACAUGGGAAGGUUUACCCAAGGACACUGUAUCUUGGGACUAUGUAGCAUGAUUUUACUUUUACAGGGCCUCCCAGCUAAGAAUUUACCAUGAGUCUCAGAGGAGGCUUUGGAAUUAGUCUUGGAAGCCAUGCUGGAACUGCUGAGACUUUAGAGGAUUUUUGCUUAUCCAAUUCAUAAAGAACUCCAUGUGACGCUAUCUGAGCAAAGCAUUUUCUGGGAAAAGAAAAAAGACAAGAGUUAGUAAAACUAGGUCAUCUCCUAUAAGAGUUAUAAGUAUGAAUAUGAUUGACACAUAGUUCCUGCCACCAAGAAACUUUCAGUUCUCAGGAAAAAAGAUGACAAAGAAAUACAGAAACAAUGAAAAAAUGCUCACCAACCUUAAAAACCCCCACAAAAUUCAGUGUAGUAGGAGGAAAGGAGGAAAAUAGACUUAAAUGAUAGAGUUCUGAAAAAGUUCAUGAAAGAGUAGAACAUUGGAUGAAUUAUGAAAACUGCAUCAAUAAAACAGAAAUAGUGUGUUGAAAAAUAAUCCUGUUUGCUUUCUUACAUACUGCUUGUGUUGUACCUACCUUUGUUCUGGUUGAUUUUUUCAAGAAUGUCUACAUGCAAUCAGCUUUGGAAAAUGUAGUAUCUGUAUAUGAAGCAGAAUAAAGAUUAUGUUUUCCUCAAGGUCAUGCAGAUUUGAUUGCAGCCUCUUAGAGAAGAUUUGGGUCCCUAAAUGUGGGGUUUUUUAGCCAUAAUGCAAAAUUCUGUAUAUGCAACAUUAACCUGGACCUCUUUACAUGACUUCUGUGUGACUUAGAGUAUGAAAGAACCGACAUAAGCUUAAAAUUCAUUGUUGUGACAUGAGUAAUAAAGUCUUUUGUCAUACUUCUAGCCACUAAUAUAUUUCCAGAAGUUGAAUAUUGCCCAAUAAUGAACUCAGUGCCUUUUGUCUUAAAGUUUUCUACCAUACUCCUUCUAGUAUAAAUAUCUGUAGUGAUCAGGAUAAACUAAAUUAUGCUGUAGUAGCAACAUGCUCACAAUCUAAGUGACUCAGUCCUUUAAGAAUGUAUUCCUUACUCACACAAAAUUUACUUGGUCACAGUGGCUAUUCAAGAAAACUUGUCUCCAUUUGGUGACCUAGAAAUCAAGACUGCUUCAGUGUUGUGGUAUCUCCAUUCUAACAUGACCAUCCACCAAAAUUCCAAAGAGAUUGAGUUUCACAUGACACAAUUAAAUGACUUUUCUUGGCAGUGACACACAUUACCUCAGUUCCAUCUAGCAAAAAGAGACAGAAAGUUUAAUCUCUAUAUGCACAAUACAUGAAAAGGGAAUUUAAAAUGAGUCCUGAUUUCUCUGUCUUUCAACCCUACCUCAAAUCACAGAAGGGAAAACGCAUCCUGGUUGUAGUUGUAAAGGUGGUAAUUUUGUUGUCAAAUGAAAUGAUUCUCCUCCCACUGUUCUGAUCAAUAAUUGCCACCUCUGGUCACUCGUCCAGUUGUCUUCUCUUUCUUUACUACUUCUAAAAACAAGGAUUUAUUCUACUUCUUUCAGUAAUCCUCACUAGAUUGAUAGCUGUAUGCCAUCUUUUGCCUUAGCAAAUAUUUUUUACUUGCUGCUUUGACAUUAAAACUUUGGUACAUUUUUUCUAAAAAAAAAAAAGAAGGAAGCUAUGAACAAGAAGAAAUUUGACAUGAUAUAAUUUAACCCUAAUUAAUGCUCUUAGAUUGUUUAAAAAUUAAUCGACUAGUUUUUUCUUUUAUACCAUACAAGAUAAUAUCUGAUAUGAGAACAAAUGAGAAUUUUAAAAAUUACCAAUAAAACAGUCUAAUUUUCAGUUUACAUUAUUUUCUCUCUCUUUUUGCAUUAUUUUCUUUAUAUAUUCUUUAUGCC
RNAcentral lists this long non-coding RNA (1994 nucleotides) under Heterocephalus glaber (naked mole-rat). Its description in RNAcentral is "lncRNA (ENSHGLG00000042788.1)". The record is from RNAcentral. Lineage: Eukaryota; Metazoa; Chordata; Mammalia; Rodentia; Bathyergidae.